RNAcentral lists this ribosomal RNA (2881 nucleotides) under Microcystis panniformis Mp_MB_F_20051200_S9D. Its description in RNAcentral is "23S ribosomal RNA". It matches the Rfam family "Bacterial large subunit ribosomal RNA". Lineage: Bacteria; Bacillati; Cyanobacteriota; Cyanophyceae; Chroococcales; Microcystaceae. The record is from RNAcentral.
GAAGUAGAGAAGGGCGUAUGGGGAAUGCCUAGGCUCUCGGAGGCGAAGAAGGACGUGGUAAGCUGCGAAAAGCUACGGGGACCCGCAAACAGGGCUUGAUCCGUAGGUGUCCGAAUGGGGCAACCCACCAUGCCGAAGGCAUGGUAUCCGCCGGAAGGCGGAAGCAAACCCGGGGAACUGAAACAUCUAAGUACCCGGAGGAAGAGAAAACAACAGUGAUAGCGCAAGUAGUGGCGAGCGAACGCGCAAGAGCCCAAACCCAAUUGGUCACGGCCAGUUGGGGGUUAUAGGACCACAUAAUUGAAACCGAAGAUGACAUGAACUGGGUGGGAAACCAGGCCGCAGAGGGUGAGAGCCCCGUAAAGGAAGUCUAAGGGGAGAGGUGGUAUCCUGAGUAGGGCGGGGUCGGAGACGCCCCGUUUGAAUUUGCCGGCACCAUCCGGUAAGGCUAAACACUCCCGAGAGACCGAUAGUGAACCAGUACUGUGAAGGAAAGGUGAAAAGUACUCCGAACAGGAGGGUGAAAAGAGAACCUGAAACCAUACGCCUACAAGCGGUCAGAGCUCCGAGAUGGAGUGAUGGCGUGCCUUUUGCAUAAUGAGCCUACGAGUUACUGUCACUGGCGAGGUUAAAUGAUUUGAAUCAUGCAGCCGGAGCGAAAGCGAGUCUGAAUAGGGCGCAUAGUCAGUGGGAGUAGACGCGAAACUUUGUGAUCUACCCUUGGCCAGGGUGAAGCCCCGUUAACACGGGGUGGAGGCCCGAACCAGUAAACGUUGAAAAGUUUUUGGAUGAGCUGAGGGUAGGGGUGAAAGGCUAAUCAAACUGAGAAAUAGCUCGUACUCCCCGAAAUGUUUUUAGGAACAGUGUGGGGGUUAAGUUUGGCAGAGGUAGAGCUACCGAUAGGACUAGGGGGAGUCACAUCCUACCAAAUCCUGACGAACUCCGAAUGCUGUCAAAUAUACCCUGCAAUGAGGGCGCGGGUGCUAAGGUCCGUGUCCGAGAGGGAAAGAACCCAGACCUACAGCUAAGGUCCCAAAAUCUACAUUAAGUUGAACUAAGGAGGUCCAGUUGCUGCGACAGCCAGGAGGUUAGCUUGGAAGCAGCUAUUCCUUUAAAGAGUGCGUAACAGCUCACUGGUCGAGCGACAGGGCAUCGAUAAUGAUCGGGCAUAAAAUGUAGUACCGAAGCUUAGGAUUAUCCGCCUUUGGCGGAUAGUGGUAGGGGAGCAUUCCAACAGCGGAGAAGCUGAGAGAUAACUCUUGGUGGAGCGGUUGGAAAAGCAAAUGUAGGCAUAAGUAACGAUAAGGCAGGUGAGAAACCUGCCCACCGAUAGACUAAGGUUUCCGCGGCAAUGCUAAUCAUCCGCGGGUAAGUCGGGGCCUAAGGAAAAGCCGAAAGGCGUAUUCGAUGGAUCACUGGUUAAUAUUCCAGUACUACCGUAUUGAGCGAUGAGGUGAAGGAGGAGUGAAAGCUGCGCGCCCUGACGGAAUAGGGCGUUGAAAGGUGUAGAUAUAGGAGAUGCAGGCAAAUCCGCAUUUUUUGUCGAACCCAACAGUACUCAGAGGCUUCGGCUGAAGAGAUAGACAGUGUAAACAGACUUCCAAGAAAACCCUCUAAGCAUAUUGAUAUGGUACCCGUACCGCAAACCGACACAGGUAGUCAAGGAGAAUAUCCUGAGGUGCUCGAGUGAAUCAUGGCUAAGGAACUCGGCAAAUUAACCCUGUAACUUCGGGAGAAGGGGUGCCUCCAGCAAUGGAGGUCGCAGAGAAAUGGCCCAGGCGACUGUUUAACAAAAACACAUGGCUUUGCGAAAUCGAAAGAUGAAGUAUAAGGCCUGACACCUGCCCGGUGCUGGAAGGUUAAGGGGGGGCGUUAGCGAGCAAUUGCGAAGCGCUGAACUGAAGCCCCAGUAAACGGCGGCCGUAACUAUAACGGUCCUAAGGUAGCGAAAUUCCUUGUCGGGUAAGUUCCGACCUGCACGAAUGGUGUAACGAUCUGGGCGCUGUCUCGGCCAUGAGCUCGGUGAAAUUGUAGUCACGGUGAAGAUGCCGUGUACCCGUCACGGGACGGAAAGACCCCGUGCACCUUUACUAUAGCUUCGCAUUGGUACUGGGGGGAUGAUGUGUAGGAUAGGCGGGAGGCUUUGAUCCUGGGCCGCUAGGUCUAGGGGAGUCAACGGUGAAAUACCGCCCUUUAUCUCCUUGGUGCCUAACCUUUUACAAGGGACAUUGCGUGGUGGGUAGUUUGACUGGGGUGGUCGCCUCCGAAAGUGUAUCGGAGGCUUUCAAAGGUACCCUCAGUACGGUUGGUAAUCGUACGUGGAGUGCAAUAGCAUAAGGGUGCUUGACUGUGAGACUGACAAGUCGAGCAGGGACGAAAGUUGGAUAUAGUGAUCCGGUGGUUCUGCAUGGAAGGGCCAUCGCUCAAAGGAUAAAAGGUACGCCGGGGAUAACAGGCUGAUCUCCCCCAAGAGCUCAUAUCGACGGGGAGGUUUGGCACCUCGAUGUCGGCUCGUCACAUCCUGGGGCUGGAGAAGGUCCCAAGGGUUGGGCUGUUCGCCCAUUAAAGUGGCACGCGAGCUGGGUUCAGAACGUCGUGAGACAGUUCGGUCCCUAUCUGUGAUGGGCGUUGGAAGUUUGAGGGGAUCUGGCCUUAGUACGAGAGGACCGGGCUGGACCAACCUCUGGUGUACCGGUUGUAGCGCCAGCUGCACCGCCGGGUAGCCAUGUUGGGUAGGGAUAAGCGCUGAAAGCAUCUAAGCGCGAAACCCGCCCCGAGAUGAGACUUCCUUUAAGGGUCGUCAGAGAUUAUGACGUUGAUAGGCCGCAGGUGUAAAGGCAGUAAUGCCAAAGCCGAGCGGUACUAAUUGCCCGUACGCUUC